Oreochromis aureus is the source of this 1118-nucleotide long non-coding RNA. NCBI's taxonomy places the organism in Eukaryota, Metazoa, Chordata, Actinopteri, Cichliformes, Cichlidae. The record is from Ensembl.
CAGAUGUUCAAUGUUACUGUGGAAUUCUACAACAUACUAAUUAGAAAUUUGAAACUUGCCAGUUUGUAAUAUCAUCAUCAUAUUAUAAUCACCGUGUUGUAUAUAUAUCUGUAUGUUUGUUCCAGAACUUCUCCUAGAUCAGUGAUUCUUAACCAUGGGGAAUGGGCCGCGAGUCACACCUUGAGGGCCAUAAAAAACUUUUAGUUUUACACCUCUGGGCCACGGGACAUCAGAAGUUCGUAAUUGAAGACACCAGGAACUACUGCUAUCCAUGAAAAUCUCAGUUACAAUACAGCUUCCCACCACUUGGUGGGAGUUGUUUAAUCAGUCUUAAUAAGCAAAGACACUCUGCCCGCCGUUUGCAGUUAGCAAAAGAUAUGGAGAAGUUUUUAAAUUGCAAAAAUGAAGAUGAAAGUGACAAAACCCCAAGGCAAGGGUUAGGGUGACUGGCAUCAUUAGGCAAAUUCUUGAUUGUGCAGGACAAGCUAAAUGGACCUACUGUUUUCUCCUGUAAGUGUGAAAACUAUCAAUUUCAUUUAAAAUAAUGCUGUGAACUCCAGAUGUUUUGCCAAGCUUUGUGAGAACAUGGAAGCAGAUCAUGUCCAGCUGCUCUACCACAGUGAGAAAAUCUUCUCUUGCAAAUUAUUAUGCUGACUUAAAGUUCACAGACAAAGUUGAAGCUUUCAAGAGGAAACUUGCUUUGUGGACUAAAAGGGCCCAGAAAAACAGGAUGGACAUGUUUCCACUUUUGUCCCACAUCUUGGAAAACUCCCCUCAGGUGAACAUCAGUGACUCUGUCAGCACCUUUCACAACUGACAGAGUUGACUGAUGAAUAUUUCCCUGAGGAGCCCAGAGAAGGACACGUGGAUUUUGGAACCAUUUUCUAUGGAUCCCACUGAAAAUGAUGUUGUUUUGCCCUCACAUCUGGAACCCCAGCUUCUGGAAGUUUCUACCGAUGGCACUUGAAAGUUUCAGUGGGGUCAUGGGCUCCUUCUGUAUUACUGUCUCAAAGGAGUACCCAUGUAAGAUAAGAUAAGAUAAGAUAGCCUUUAUUAGUCCCACACGUGGGAAAUUUGUUUUGUCACAGCAGGAAGUGGACAGUGCAAAAGUUAUAUAG